AAUGAACGCUGGCGGUAUGCCUAACACAUGCAAGUCGAACGGCAGCACAGUAAGAGCUUGCUCUUACGGGUGUCGAGUGGCGGACGGUUGAGUAAUAUAUCGGAAUCUACUUUUUCGUGGGUGAUAACGUAGGGAAACUUACUCUAAUACCGCAUACGACCUACUUGGAAAAGCACGCGAUCUUUUGACCUUUUGCGAUUGAAUGAGCCUAGGUCGGAUUAGCUAGUUGGCGUGUUUAAGGCCCACCAAGGCCACGAUCCGUAGCUGGUAUGAGAGGAUGAUUAGCCAGACUGGAACUGAGGAACGGUACAGACUCCUACGGGAGGCAGCAGUGGGGAAUAUUGGACAAUGGACGAAAGCCUGAUCCAGCACUACCGCGUGGGUGCAGAAGGAGUUCGGGUUGUAAAGCCAUUUUGUUCGGAAAGAAAAGCAGCAGGUUAAUCCGCCGCUGUUAUGACGGUACCCAAAGAAUAAGCACCGGCUAACUUCGUG
Molecule: ribosomal RNA, 492 nt
Filed under: uncultured bacterium
Lineage: Bacteria
Description: partial 16S ribosomal RNA
Rfam family: Bacterial small subunit ribosomal RNA
Source: RNAcentral